This is a non-coding RNA of Phrynosoma platyrhinos (Desert horned lizard), 72 nucleotides long. NCBI's taxonomy places the organism in Eukaryota, Metazoa, Chordata, Lepidosauria, Squamata, Phrynosomatidae. The record is from the annotation of a GenBank genome assembly.
GCCUGAGUGGGAUUGUGGUUUGAGUGUUGGACAAUGACUUUGGAGACCAGGGUUCAAUUCCCAGCUUGGUCA